Molecule: ribosomal RNA, 274 nt
Filed under: uncultured bacterium
Lineage: Bacteria
Description: partial 16S ribosomal RNA
Rfam family: Bacterial small subunit ribosomal RNA
Source: RNAcentral
CUACGGAGGGGGCUAGCGUUGUUCGGAAUUAUUGGGCGUAAAGGGCGCGUAGGCGGCCAGGCAAGUCAAAGGUGAAAUCCCUCGGCUCAACCGAGGAACUGCCUCUGAAACUGCCUAGCUUGAGUCCCGGAGAGGGUAGUGGAAUUCCCAGUGUAGCGGUGAAAUGCGUAGAUAUUGGGAGGAACACCAGUGGCGAAGGCGACUACCUGGACGGGUACUGACGCUGAGGCGCGAAAGCGUGGGGAGCAAACAGGAUUAGAAACCCCGGUAGUCC